ACCGAGGCCUAUCCCGACAGGCUCUUGGCCAUAGGGCCUGGUCGUUGGAAAUGCCUCGAAGAUCAUACCUGCAGUUAUCGCUUUACCCAUGGGUCUAGUUUGGUUAGACCUGUGGGAUAAAACUGCAGAACACUC
Molecule: small nucleolar RNA, 135 nt
Organism: Lepisosteus oculatus (spotted gar)
Lineage: Eukaryota; Metazoa; Chordata; Actinopteri; Semionotiformes; Lepisosteidae
Source: Ensembl